This is a small nuclear RNA of Grammomys surdaster, 103 nucleotides long. NCBI's taxonomy places the organism in Eukaryota, Metazoa, Chordata, Mammalia, Rodentia, Muridae. The record is from RefSeq and is a predicted model, not a curated record.
GUGUUCAUUUUGAAAGCACAUAUACUUAUAUUGGAAUGAUACAGAGAUUAGCAUGGUCCUGCCCAAGGAUGGCAUGCAAAUUCAUGAACUGUAUCAGUUUUCU